GCCCUUGUAGUACAACCGGUUAGUACACCUAAUUGGAUUUUAGGAAAUGUCAGUUCAAUUCUGGCCAGGGACA
RNAcentral lists this transfer RNA (73 nucleotides) under Mytilus galloprovincialis (Mediterranean mussel). It matches the Rfam family "tRNA". Rfam says of the family: Transfer RNA (tRNA) molecules are approximately 80 nucleotides in length. Their secondary structure includes four short double-helical elements and three loops (D, anti-codon, and T loops). The record is from Rfam by way of RNAcentral. Lineage: Eukaryota; Metazoa; Mollusca; Bivalvia; Mytilida; Mytilidae.